CCUACGGGUGGCAGCAGUGGGGAAUAUUGGACAAUGGGGGCAACCCUGAUCCAGCCAUGCCGCGUGUGUGAAGAAGGCCCUCGGGUUGUAAAGCACUUUCAGUGAGGAAGAACGCCUGGUGGUUAAUACCCAUCAGGAAAGACAUCACUCACAGAAGAAGCACCGGCUAACUCCGUGCCAGCAGCCGCGGUAAUACGGAGGGUGCGAGCGUUAAUCGGAAUUACUGGGCGUAAAGCGCGCGUAGGUGGCUUGAUAAGCCGGUUGUGAAAGCCCCGGGCUCAACCUGGGAACGGCAUCCGGAACUGUCAAGCUAGAGUGCAGGAGAGGAAGGUAGAAUUCCCGGUGUAGCGGUGAAAUGCGUAGAGAUCGGGAGGAAUACCAGUGGCGAAGGCGGCCUUCUGGACUGACACUGACACUGAGGCGCGAAAGCGUGGGUAGCAAACAGGAUUAGAUACCCUUGUAGUC
Molecule: ribosomal RNA, 465 nt
Filed under: Vreelandella stevensii
Lineage: Bacteria; Pseudomonadati; Pseudomonadota; Gammaproteobacteria; Oceanospirillales; Halomonadaceae
Description: partial 16S ribosomal RNA
Rfam family: Bacterial small subunit ribosomal RNA
Source: RNAcentral